RNAcentral lists this transfer RNA (95 nucleotides) under Penicillium occitanis (nom. inval.). Its description in RNAcentral is "Penicillium occitanis tRNA". It matches the Rfam family "tRNA". Rfam says of the family: Transfer RNA (tRNA) molecules are approximately 80 nucleotides in length. Their secondary structure includes four short double-helical elements and three loops (D, anti-codon, and T loops). The record is from Rfam by way of RNAcentral. Lineage: Eukaryota; Fungi; Ascomycota; Eurotiomycetes; Eurotiales; Aspergillaceae.
GGCUGGUUGGCCUAGUGGUUAGGGCGUAUCCUUUACAAGAGUCCUUUUUGCGACGUCUACGGAUAAGGUCGUGAGUUCAAUCCUCACACUAGUCA